Molecule: microRNA precursor, 109 nt
Organism: Pan paniscus (pygmy chimpanzee)
Lineage: Eukaryota; Metazoa; Chordata; Mammalia; Primates; Hominidae
Source: Ensembl
UUGAAGAAUACGUCUGGUUGAUCCAGUCCACUUAAUUCUGAGAAAAUCCACAGACUGGAUCGGGUCUUGGAUUUUAGCUGGAUUCAUUGACUGGGCUAUAUUUGUUAUA